RNAcentral lists this ribosomal RNA (1122 nucleotides) under Burkholderia sp. OL876B. RNAcentral describes it as "bacterial SSU rRNA". It matches the Rfam family "Bacterial small subunit ribosomal RNA", at positions 96 to 1220 of the family's 1533-position model. The record is from RNAcentral. RNAcentral also lists the same sequence under 1 other name. Lineage: Bacteria; Pseudomonadati; Pseudomonadota; Betaproteobacteria; Burkholderiales; Burkholderiaceae.
UGGCGAACGGGUGAGUAAUACAUCGGAACGUGUCCUGUAGUGGGGGAUAGCCCGGCGAAAGCCGGAUUAAUACCGCAUACGACCUGAGGGAGAAAGCGGGGAUCUUCGGACCUGGCGCUAUAGGGGCGGCCGAUGGCAGAUUAGCUAGUUGGUGGGGUAAAUGCCUACCAAGGCGACGAUCUGUAGCUGGUCUGAGAGGACGACCAGCCACACUGGGACUGAGACGCGGCCCAGACUCCUACGGGAGGCAGCAGUGGGGAAUUUUGGACAAUGGGGGCAACCCUGAUCCAGCAAUGCCGCGUGUGUGAAGAAGGCCUUCGGGUUGUAAAGCACUUUUGUCCGGAAAGAAAACCUCGUGGCUAAUAUCCGUGAGGGAUGACGGUACCGGAAGAAUAAGCACCGGCUAACUACGUGCCAGCAGCCGCGGUAAUACGUAGGGUGCGAGCGUUAAUCGGAAUUACUGGGCGUAAAGCGUGCGCAGGCGGUCUGUUAAGAUCGAUGUGAAAUCCCCGGGCUUAACCUGGGAACUGCAUUGGUGACUGGCAGGCUUUGAGUGUGGCAGAGGGGGGUAGAAUUUCACGUGUAGCAGUGAAAUGCGUAGAGAUGUGGAGGAAUACCGAUGGCGAAGGCAGCCCCCUGGGCCAACACUGACGCUCAUGCACGAAAGCGUGGGGAGCAAACAGGAUUAGAUACCCUGGUAGUCCACGCUCUAAACGAUGUCAACUAGUUGUUGGGGAUUCAUUUUCUUAGUAACGUAGCUAACGCGUGAAGUUGACCGCCUGGGGAGUACGGUCGCAAGAUUAAAACUCAAAGGAAUUGACGGGGACCCGCACAAGCGGUGGAUGAUGUGGAUUAAUUUGAUGCAACGCGAAAAACCUUACCUACCCUUGACAUGGUCGGAACCCUGCUGAGAGGUGGGGGUGCUCGAAAGAGAACCGGCGCACAGGUGCUGCAUGGCUGUCGUCAGCUCGUGUCGUGAGAUGUUGGGUUAAGUCCCGCAACGAGCGCAACCCUUGUCCUUAGUUGCUACGCAAGAGCACUUUAAGGAGACUGCCGGUGACAAGCCGGAGGAAGGUGGGGAUGACGUCAAGUCCUCAUGGCCCUUAUGGGUAGGGCUUCACA